AGAGUUUGAUCAUGGCUCAGAACGAACGCUGGCGGCGUGCUUAACACAUGCAAGUCGAGUGCGCGGUUGUAGCAAUACAACUGGCGCACGGCGCACGGGUGCGUAACACGUGGGCAAUCUGCCCUUCGAUGGGGAAUAACUCCGGGAAACCGAAGCUAAUUCCGCAUAACAUUCCUUGGACUUCGGUUCGAGGACUCAAAGCCGCAAGGCGUCGAAGGAGGAGCCCGCGCCCGAUUAGCUAGUUGGUGAGGUAACGGCUCACCAAGGCAAUGAUCGGUAGCUGGUCUGAGAGGAUGGCCAGCCACACUGGAACUGAGACACGGUCCAGACUCCUACGGGAGGCAGCAGUGGGGAAUCUUGCGCAAUGGGCGAAAGCCUGACGCAGCGACGCCGCGUGGGGGAUGAAGCAUUUCGGUGUGUAAACCCCUUUCGACUGGGACGAAUACCUCGCAAGAGGGGUGACGGUACCAGUAGAAGAAGCCCCGGCUAACUACGUGCCAGCAGCCGCGGUAAGACGUAGGGGGCCAGCGUUGUUCGGAAUUACUGGGUGUAAAGGGUUCGUAGGCGGUGUGGCAAGUCGGGAGUGAAAUCUAUGGGCUUAACCCAUAGGCUGCUUCCGAAACUGCCGUGCUUGAGUGUGGGAGAGGCGCGUGGAAUUGCAGGUGUAGCGGUGAAAUGCGUAGAUAUCUGCAGGAACACCCGUGGCGAAAGCGGCGCGCUGGACCACUACUGACGCUGAGGAACGAAAGCUAGGGGAGCAAACAGGAUUAGAUACCCUAGUAGUCC
Molecule: ribosomal RNA, 786 nt
Filed under: uncultured bacterium
Lineage: Bacteria
Description: bacterial SSU rRNA
Rfam family: Bacterial small subunit ribosomal RNA
Source: RNAcentral